GAAGAAAUAUAUUAUACAAACUUACACACACACACAUAUAUACACUCAGUGGAAAGAAUGAGGAAGUGGCUGAGAGAUGUGAUGUGAAGGAGACACAGGAGAGAGAGACAGAGAAGGCUGCAAUGGUUGGGACAUGUGAGGAGAGAGACAGGUGGCAGGGAAGGGAAUAAGGAAGUGGCUGAGAGAUGUGAUGUGAAGGAGACACAGAGGAGACAGAGAAGGCUGCAAUGGUUGGGACAUGUGAGGAGAGAGACAGGUGGCAGGGAAGGGAAUAAGGAAGUGGCUGAGAGACGUGGUGUGAAGGAGACACAGAGAAGAGAGAAACAGAGAAGGCUGCAAUGGUUGGGACAUGUGAGGAGAGAGACAGAGGGCGGUGGAGGUGCCCGGGAGGAGACCAGUUGUAAGACCAAGGAGAGCAUGGAGAGGAACAGUGACACAAGACUUGGGAGUGUUGAAAAUAGAGGAAGGAUUAGCACCGGACCAGCAAGAUGGAGGAGGACCAUGGCAAGUCACACCCCAGGAAAGGGAGAAGAUGGACCAUAAGCCAAGAAGAUGCUGAUGACCCUUUUCUAACUAUCCCCGUCUUGAUGCUGCUCCUCUUCCUCCUUUUCAUCCAGGCUUCCUUCUAUUCUCUUCCUCUUCUUUCAUAAUUUCUUCCUCUCCUCCAUUCCUUUUCUUUCUGUUCGUGAUUUUUCGUAAUAUUUUCUUGUCCAUCUUUCUCCUCUUUCUUUCCCUAGUCUUUUCAUUCCUUUCUUUCUUUUCUGUUCUUGUUGUUCCUCCAUGUCUGUCUUUCUCUCUUUGUCUUCUCUUUCUUCUUGUUCUUCAGCCAGGGCGGGGUUGCCAAACACUGUCCUCCACCGCCACCACAUACAGCAGCACCACACAACACCUCAGGGGAAGUGGAUCUUCAUGUGCCUGGCAAUACUCCACUUGGUCUUGAAAUGUUUUAGACAAACAUCACACUUGAACUCUCUCAGAUCAGAGUGUGUGACAACGUGGCUGUUCAAAGCAGACUUAGAAAAGAAGCUUCUGUCACACUCAAGGCAUUCAUGAGGUCUUUCACCAGUGUGUUUAUGUAUGUGUAUAUUUAGUUCACUCUUCACACUGAACCUUCUGUCACACUCAGGGCAUUCAUGAGGUCUUUCACCAGUGUGUGUAAGGGUGUGUGUGUUAAGGUGACUCUUCUGAGUGAACACUUUGCCACACUCUUGGCAUUCAUGAGGUCUUUCACCAGUGUGUGUAAGGGUGUGUUUUUUAAGGUCACUCUUCGUACUGAACACUUUGCCACACUCUUGGCAUUCAUGAGGUCUUUUACCAGUGUGUGUAAGGGUGUGUAAUUUGAGGCUACUCUUCCUAUUGAACACGUUGCCACACUCUUGGCAUUCAUGAGGUCUUUCACCAGUGUGUGUAAGGGUGUGUGUGUUAAGGCUACUCUUCCUAGUGAACACUUUGCCACACUCUUGGCACUCAUGAGGUCUUUCACCAGUGUGUGUAAGGGUGUGUGUGUUAAGGCUACUCUUCCUACUGAACACUUUGCCACACUCCUGGCAUUCAUGAGGUCUUUCACCAGUGUGUGUAAGGGUGUGUGUGUUAAGGGCACUCUUCCAACUGAACACUUUGCCACACUCCUGGCAUUCAUGAGGUCUUCCACCAGAGUGUGUGGGUGUGUUUGUUGAGGUCACCCUUCCCAGGGAGUCUUUUCCC
Long non-coding RNA from Eriocheir sinensis (Chinese mitten crab), 1704 nucleotides. RefSeq lists it as uncharacterized. The record is from RefSeq and is a predicted model, not a curated record. The transcript has 3 exons. Lineage: Eukaryota; Metazoa; Arthropoda; Malacostraca; Decapoda; Varunidae.